AGUGAACGCUGGCGGUGGGCCUAACACAUGCAAGUCGAACGGCAGCACAGUAAGAGCUUGCUCUUACGGGUGGCGAGUGGCGGACGGGUGAGGAAUACAUCGGAAUCUACUUUUUCGUGGGGGAUAACGUGGGGAAACUUACGCUAAUACCGCAUACGACCUACGGGUGAAAGCAGGGGAUCUUCGGACCUUGCGCGAUUGAAUGAGCCGAUGUCGGAUUAGCUAGUUGGCGGGGUAAAGGCCCACCAAGGCGACGAUCCGUAGCUGGUCUGAGAGGAUGAUCAGCCACACUGGAACUGAGACACGGUCCAGACUCCUACGGGAGGCAGCAGUGGGGAAUAUUGGACAAUGGGCGCAAGCCUGAUCCAGCCAUACCGCGUGGGUGAAGAAGGCCUUCGGGUUGUAAAGCCCUUUUGUUGGGAAAGAAAAGCAGCAGGUUAAUACCCCGCUGUUCUGACGGUACCCAAAGAAUAAGCACCGGCUAACUUCGUG
Molecule: ribosomal RNA, 492 nt
Filed under: uncultured bacterium
Lineage: Bacteria
Description: partial 16S ribosomal RNA
Rfam family: Bacterial small subunit ribosomal RNA
Source: RNAcentral